UUGCAGAGGGGGAGGGAGGAAGAUUGGGAGGAGGCAGCCUCACCCCCUCAACACCCAACCCCCUCCUCCUUGGAGGUGCCAGGGAGAGGUGAAGAGAAGAGCAAACCAUGCAGCUGUGGACAGAACUCGCCUCGGGACCUCGGGCUGGGAGUGUCUCAGAGCAGUGCAUGCCAGGCCUCCACAUCCCACCAACACAUGCUGCAGCACUGUCUGACUUCAGCAUCUGAAUGCAUGAGAAGCGGAGUCUCACUGGGGCUGUAAUCUGCAUUCUCCAGUGACCGGCAGUGCCACGCAGCAUCCCCCUGCUCACUGGCCACUGUAUGUCUAUGGAGAAACAUCUGUCCAGACCCAUCGCCCAUCUCUGCACCUUUCUGCUCAUUUCUAAGAGACGAGUUCUCCCUAUGUUGCCCAAGCUGCUCUCAAAC
Molecule: long non-coding RNA, 425 nt
Filed under: Homo sapiens (human)
Lineage: Eukaryota; Metazoa; Chordata; Mammalia; Primates; Hominidae
Description: HSALNT0387759
Source: RNAcentral